RNAcentral lists this ribosomal RNA (604 nucleotides) under Konosirus punctatus (Konoshiro gizzard shad). Its description in RNAcentral is "partial 16S ribosomal RNA". It matches the Rfam family "Bacterial large subunit ribosomal RNA", at positions 1845 to 2647 of the family's 2925-position model. The record is from RNAcentral. Lineage: Eukaryota; Metazoa; Chordata; Actinopteri; Clupeiformes; Clupeidae.
AUAGGAGGUCCCGCCUGCCCUGUGACCAAAAGUUUAACGGCCGCGGUAUUUUAACCGUGCAAAGGUAGCGCAAUCAAUUGUCUUUUAAAUGGAGACCUGUAUGAAUGGCAUAACGAGGGUUUAACUGUCUCUUUUUUUCGGUCAAUGAAACUGAUCUGCCCGUGCAGAAGCGGGCAUACCCACACAAGACGAGAAGACCCUAUGGAGCUUUAGACGCUCACCAACCACUAAAAGAGACCCGAUCUAACGGGCUUUCAAACAAUGUGGCCCUGGUAUAAACGUCUUCGGUUGGGGCGACCGCGGAGGAGAGAAAAGCCUCCGAGAGGAUUGGGGGAAACCCUAAAACCAAGAGCCACAGCUCUAAGUCACAAAAUAUUUGACCGACAACGAUCCGGCUUCUUGCCGAUCAACGGACCAAGUUACCCUAGGGAUAACAGCGCAAUCCCCUCCCAGAGUCCAUAUCGACGAGGGGGUUUACGACCUCGAUGUUGGAUCAGGACAUCCUAAUGGUGCAGCCGCUAUUAAGGGUUCGUUUGUUCAACGAUUAAAGUCCUACGUGAUCUGAGUUCAGACCGGAGUAAUCCAGGUCAGUUUCUAUCUGUGA